RNAcentral lists this ribosomal RNA (528 nucleotides) under uncultured bacterium. RNAcentral describes it as "bacterial SSU rRNA". It matches the Rfam family "Bacterial small subunit ribosomal RNA", at positions 372 to 919 of the family's 1533-position model. The record is from RNAcentral.
UGGAGGCAACUCUGAUCCAGCAAUGCCGCGUGUGUGAUGAAGGCCCUAGGGUUGUAAAGCACUUUCAUUGGUGAAGAUGAUGACGGUAACCAAAGAAGAAGCCCCGGCUAACUUCGUGCCAGCAGCCGCGGUAAUACGAAGGGGGCGAGCGUUGUUCGGAAUUACUGGGCGUAAAGGGAGCGCAGGCGGUUCAAUUAGUUAGGCGUGAAAGCCCCGGGCUCAACCUGGGAACUGCGCUUAAUACUGUUGAGCUAGAAUACAGAAGAGGAUAGUGGAAUUCCCAGUGUAGAGGUGAAAUUCGUAGAUAUUGGGAAGAACACCGGUGGCGAAAGCGGCUAUCUGGUCUGUUAUUGACGCUGAGGCUCGAAAGCGUGGGGAGCAAACAGGAUUAGAUACCCUGGUAGUCCACGCCGUAAACGAUGAUAACUAGAUGUCGGGGGGUCGCCUCUCGGUGUCGCAGCUAACGCAUUAAGUUAUCCGCCUGGGAAGUACGGUCGCAAGAUUAAAACUCAAAGGAAUUGACGGGGA